Long non-coding RNA from Macaca fascicularis (crab-eating macaque), 5242 nucleotides. NCBI's taxonomy places the organism in Eukaryota, Metazoa, Chordata, Mammalia, Primates, Cercopithecidae. The record is from Ensembl.
UUUUUCUUUUUUUUUAAAAAAAAUGCCUAGCCAAUUGUUCCAGCAUGUGUUAAAAAGAUUAUUCUUUCUCCAUUUACCAUUGCACCUUUGCCAAAAUUCAGUUAACCAAAUAUGUCUGAGUUGAUUUCUCAAGUUACUAUGAUGUUCCAUUGAUCUAUAUGUCUAAUUUUACACCAAUACUAGGAUGUCUUGCUUAUGAUAGCUUCAUAAUAAGCCUUCAAAUCAGGUAACAUACAUCCCUUCACUUUGUUCUUUUAUGAAGUAAUUUUGGCUACUUUAUACCUUUUCCAUUUCUAUAUACAUUUUAGAAUUAUUUUGCAAAAUUGACUCAUCAAUUUUAGCAGUUUUGCAGAUUUCAUAGGACUUUCUAAUCCUAUUAAUUUAGGAUGUCUAUUUAAUGGCAGACAACGAUUAUGUUGUCUGCCAUUAAAGGCAGACUUACCCCAGGCAUGGUGGCUCACACCUUUAAUCCCACGCCCUUUGUAAAAUGAAUUGUCCUACUCUGGCUAGCAGGAACACAAACUACUCGCUUCCUUGUGUGAACUCCAAUGAUUGCUCCCUCUGCUCCUUUCAGGUGGUUCUUUCUCCAACCUUGGUAAUUUUCCCAUGCAUGCCGAAGUACUGGGCUCAUGUCUCAAGGGGGACCCUCCUGAGAUCUGCAAGCCUUUUUUUCUGUGCAGCUCUCUCCUCUUUUGUACUCUGCCUUAUGAACUUCAUCUACUUUGGCCUCUUCUGGACUCCCACCUCUGUUCCCUCAACUCAGAGAAAAAUCUCUGGUUUCUCUCUUAGUUCUCUUUCCUUAGGCUGCAAUCUGGAAUCUCUCUCCAGAUAUCAGCUAGGGGAAUCAUAAAACUCAACUCAUUUGUGUUCCUUCUUUCAGGAUUGUUGCCCUUCACUGCUUCAUGACUAGUGUCUGAAAACUAUUGUUUUAUUACAUAUAAUAUUGUCAGGUCUUUUAGUUGUUUCAAAUGAAAAGGUAAAUCUUGUUUCUAUUCUUUUAGUUAAGCUGAAAGUAAAUAUCAACCACUUUGGGAGGCAAGGGUUUGUAUUUCAGUGUUAUAUGAUUAAUUUUAAUGGAAGUAAAGAUGCUUUAAACUUUCAGCUCUUGAGAGAUCUGAGUUCAAAUUCCAGUAUUGUUACCUUGGGUAAAUUACCACACUUUUUGAUUCCCAGUUCCCUAGCAGAUAAAACAGAACUAAUAAUACCUACCUGAUAAGGUGUGGGGAUUGAGUGAGAUAUAAACAAUUUACCACAUAUCAGAGGCACACCUCUUAAAUUUUAGUUUCCUUCUCUUUCCUCUAAAAAAGAGUAUCGGAAGCUAUUUGUUAGAGCCAUACCUAUAUUGGUAAGAGUAAUUCCCACCCUUUUCCUGUCUCAAAUAUCUAAGACCCCAUCUGUUACAGAAAAACAACAACAACAACAAAUUUUUUUUUACCAUAAUAUGCUAUUGAAAAGCCAGACAUAAAAUGUAAUUCUGGGCAAACUGCCUGUGAUUUUUUACUCUGUGAAACUAAGUGCGAAUGGGGAGCCUUGUAUCCUGCCCUGUCUACUUCUGGUUUGGAUUUGGAAAUUUUUAAAGUGGGGAACAAUCCAGAAUUCCAGCUCCGUCAGGAAAGAAAACAAACAAAUGAAACAGAUGACAAAUCAUUUGUCUAGGACCUGAAGCCAAACUGGCUUCAAUAGCUGCUGGGAUGGUAGUAGGAGCCAAUUUCCUGCAGUAUUUACAAAAUCAUUUGUAAGAAUAAUAUUUUCCAGACUUUUAUAGGGACAAUUAAGUGUGAAUUUUUGGUCUGCAGACUCCAUAAAGUUAGCAGGCAUCCAACAAGCAGCUGCUGAGAACACCACCUCCCAUCCUAACUCCACUCCCUAUAUAAAGGCCUGACAUACACUCAGAUAGAGGAUAAGCUGUAGUCUUUGCUCUUCAAAUAUAUACCACCACCUAAAAAGAGCAACAGAUGAAUACACAGCUAAUCAAAAUCUAAUGAAAUGUGCUUUAUUCGGGGUAUGAGUGAACUGCUGCACUAAGACAGAGAUAAAAGAUGAGAAAAGGGUUAUCUGGAUAAAGAUGGAGGAUCAUAGUUACAGCUUUUCACCGACUACAUUGGGCCUGUCUAGUAAAUUUGUCCAUAUUGAAUAGGCUUUGGCUGCUCUAGCUGGAGAAGCCCUUUCAGUGGGAGUUAAAGUAGCAAAUGGCAUGGUAUUAGCAACUGAGAAGAGCAGAAUUCUAUUCUGUAUGAUGAGCAAAGUGUACACAGAGUGGAACUAAUUAUCGAACAUACAGGUUUGGUGUAUAGUGGCAAUGGGUGCAGAUUACAGAGUGCUUGUGCACAGAGUUCAAAAGCUAGCUCAGCAAUACUAUCCUGUUUACCAAGAACCCAUUCCCACAGCUCAGCUGGUAGAGAAAUUAGCUUCUGAGAUCCACAAAUACACCCAGUCUGGUGGUAUUUGUCCAUCUGGAGUCUUUCUACUUAUUUGUGGUUGUGGGGGACAGACAUAUUUACUCAGGCACAUCCAUCUGGAGCUUUCUUUGAAUGCCACAGCGACGGGAAAGAACUGUGUGAAUGGGAAAACUUUCUUUGAGAGAAGAUACAAAGAAGAUCUGAAACUUAAAAUACCAUUCAUAUAGCCAUCUUAAUCCUAAAGGGAAGUGUUAAAAGGCAAAUGACAGAAGAUAACAUAGAAGUUGGAAUCUGCAAUGAAGCUGUAUUUAGGAAGUUUAUUUCAUCCAGCUGAAGUUAAGGAUUAGUUGGCUGCCACAGCAUAAUAAUGAAGUGACUGAAAAAUCCAGAAUUUCAGAUAUUCUAUCUACUUAAACACGUUUAAAGGAUGUUUUUGUUUUUUUUUUUUUUUGGCAGAAUCUUUUUAGAUUUAUUUCUAUGUAGUUAAUAAACUGAUGUUUUAAAAAUGACACUUAUUACGCCAGGCACAGUGGCUUAUGCCUAUAAUUGGAGCACUUUGGGAGGCUUUGGAUGGAGGACUGCUUGAUCCCAACAGUUCAAGACCAGCCUAGGCAACACAGUGAGCCUCCUGUCUCUACAAAAAACAAAAACAAAAAUUAGUCAGACAUGGUGGCAUGUGCCUGUAGUCCCAGCUACUAGGGAAGCUUAGGUGGAAGGAUUACUUAAGCCUGGGACGUCAAGGUUGCAGUGAGCCAUGAUCAUGCCACUGCACUCCAACCUGGGUGACAGAGACCCUGUCUCACUUAUACACUGCUGGUGGGAAUGUAAAUUAGUGCAACCUCUAUAGACAACAGUAUGGAGGUGUCUUAAAGAACUAAAAGGAGAUCUACCAAAAAAGACACUCAUACGCAUAUUUUUAUCGUAACACAGUUCACAAUUGCAAAGAUAUGGAAUCAACCAAAGUGCCCACUGACCAAUAAGUGGAUAAAGAAAAUGUGGUAUAUAUGCACCAUGGAAUACUACUCAGCCAUAAAAAAGAAAAGAUGAAAUAAUGUCUUUUGCAGCAUCUUGAAUGGAGCUGGAGGCCAUUAUUCUAAGUAAAGUAACUCAGGAAUGGAUAACCAAAUACUGCAUGUUCUCAAUUGUAAGUGAAAGCUAAGCUGUAGAUACACAAGGGUAUACAGAGUGAUAUAAUGGACCAUGGAGACUCAGAAGGGGGAGGAAUAAAAACUAUAUAUUGGGUACAGUGCACACUAUUCUGGUGACAGGUGCACUCAAAUCUCAGACUUCACCACUAUACAAUUCAUCCAUGCAACCAAAACCCACCUGUACCCCAAAAGCUACUGAAAUAAAAAUAAGUAAAUUCAUUCCUUAAUUAAACAACACAUAAAACAUAAUCAACUAAGAAGUUUUAAAGAUGAGCAAAACCUUCAAAGAUGAGAUUGACAGUAUUUUAGAAUACUGAAUACAGAAAAUAGCGGAGUGGAGAAAAAGAGAAUUCUAAAUCAAGAGAGAGAAGGAUAUAAUGGGAAAUGAAACUCAGGUCUGAUCUAUACAGAAUUGGAAUAUGUCUAUUAGAAAUGUUUUCAGCUGAAAGUAACAGAAUUCUUGGCUAAUAAAGCCAUAAAGGCUGUGAUGAUUAAUUUUAGGUGUCAACUUGACUGGAUUAAGGAAUAUCUAGAGAACUGGUAAGGCAUUGUUUUGGGGUGUGUCUGUGAAGGUGUUUUCAGAGGCGACUGGCAUGUGAGUUAGAGUGGACUAGGCAGAGAAGAUCUGCCGUCAAUAUGGGCAGGCACCUCCAAUCCACUGGAGGCCUGGGUAGGAUAAAAACAGAAGAAAGGAAAAUUGGCUUCUCUCCCCCCUGCAGCAGGGAUACACUCUUCUCCAACUGCCCUUGGACAUUAGGACCCCAGACUCUCUAACCUUGGGACUCCAGGACUUAAACUAUCACUCCCCCACCCCACGCCCAGGUUCUCAGGCUUGAGAAUUCAGCCUCGGACUGAGAAUUACACCAUCAAUUACACCAUCAGUUUCCCUGGUUCCAAGGCUUUUGGAAUUAUACUGAGCCAGACCACCAGCAUCCCAAGGUCUCCAGGUUACGAAUGGCCUGUGGUGGGAUUUCUCAGCCUCCGCAAUCACAUGAGCCAACUCCCUUAACCGCCUUUCAUAUCUCUCUGUGUGUCUCUCUCCGUCCCUCUCUCAUCUCUCUCUGUGUAUCUCUUGAUCCCUAUUGUUCUGCCUCUCUGGGAAACCCUGACUGAUACAGAACUUUAAGAAACAGACGUUUAUUUUCUGAAAAUGCUCAAAUGCGUAUGGUUAUUGGCACCCAUUCAGUGGCUCACGGAAGCAGGUUCUUUCCAUUUUUCUGACCUGGCAUCUUUAACAUGCUAGUUUUUCAUCUUUCUACUUUUCACCUCAUGCCUGCAAGAUUGCUGCCACAGAUUUAGACCCUAUUGACUAAUACUAACACCUUGAACAAGAGAAAAAGAGCUAAAAAGAACUUUCCUUUAAGCAGAGAGGAAAGAUUUUCCCAAGUGUUUCCCACAUUUUCCAUUACACUUUAUUGGUCAAAACAAGGUAACGUGAACACCCCUGAGUAAAGGCUGGUUGGAAAAGUAUCUGGACAAGAAGAAAGGAAUGACAUGAAAGGCCUAGAACAAUUAUGAUUCAUCCCUAGGGCUAGGCAUGUAACUAUCUUAAACAACAUCAGUGUUCCUUCAGCAAGGAAAAACUGUCACUAGUUGAGCAAUUAACAAUGACUGCAAUCCCAUUUUUGAAUUUUAAUCCAAGUUAUAGGAAGAGUUCUAGUGAGGAAAAAAAGAAAAAGGAAAAAAAAAAAAAAA